GGAGUCAGUGACCAGAAGAGGAAGGGCAGCUCCCUGGAAGUGGGCUGCACGGCCCCAUUUCCCCUGUGCUGCAGGCAGGGGCAAGGCCAGGGGCCUUUUAGUUGGAGCUUGGGGGCACCCAGGAGGCAGCUCCGCCUUGACCGCCCCGUGGCAGGAUUUGUCCUGCUUCCCGAAAGGCCAGGCCACAGGUACUGCCUGGAAAAUUCUUUAUGGGCUGCUGCCUUCCAGGUGGCUCACUGGGAGUGGCUCCUGAAGCAGGUGCUGGGCAAGUCCCAACCAGAUCCCUCCCUGCCACCAAAGCAGCGGGGCAGGCCAGGCUGGCAUGGUGUGGAACGGGGGAAGGGAGUGAACAGCCGAGCAAUUGACUGAGCUGUCCUGGGCCCCUAGCCUGACUGUCUGGGCUGCCCUUUGGGCUCCAGGUCCUCUCCACUUGCGGGUGCAAAGGCUUUGUGCCCCACUAUGGAGUCAGAUAACUUAGGGAGCACAGUAUUGUACUUGCAAUGUCCUUCAUCUAGAAAUCCCAGGUUGGUACUGCUGAGUCUGUGUGAGUUCAUGGUUUUGUGGACCCCUAAGCCUCAAGCAAAGUGAAUCCCUGAGCUCUCCCCAGUGGUUGACCACAGGUGGGAGGAGAUGAGGCCCAGAAGGGCCCACGUAGAGCCUGGUGCUGGUCAGCAGAAGGGGCAGGGAAGCUGCCCCCGGCACAGCACACCUGCUCCCUCUGGCUGCAUCCAAUGGGAUGUGGACAGAGGCCACAGACCUCUCUCCCAAGCCGCAUGGCCUUCUCAUUCUCCAGGCGUGGCCCAGCCCGUGUUGGCUUUGGAAAGGAGGCUGUGAUAGACAGUCCUUAGAAUGUGGACACUGCUGGGUUCCCAGACUGGCUGCAGAUCUGGCUUUGGCGGAGUCUUGGUGAUCACCGAGUUCCCCAGGCUGGGCUUGAAUGUGUGAGCCUCUGCCUCUGUCUCCCAGAGUGCUGGGUUAUAGGAGGAUGCUGUUUCAAAGGGAUGCCUUGUGAAAGGUACUCAGAGCGGCCCGGGAACUGAGCAUCGAGCGUGUGGGGGUCUGCUGUCCGGGCAGGGCUUCACUUGUCAGAUCCAGAGACCCCAAUUGCAGGCGGUCCUCUCUUCCCCGAGCCAGCCUGAGCUCUGCCUGGGCACCUCUCCUCUGCCCAGCCAGGCUGUGCCUUUUCUCAGUGGUGUUUUCUGUCUGGCCAGCUUUGGAGUACCGAGGCAGUGAAACCUGGGUGCUGUCACAGCACCUUCCCACCUUCGAGAAAACCUGGGGCUUAUGACCAUGAGUACAUGUUUACUCGGCAACAGCAAGAGGAUCUGGGCUCCAGGGCAAAGUGCUCAGCUUUGUUGCAGCUAUCAGACGGGCUGAGACGCAGGUGUGGGGAUCCGCUGAGGGCUCCGAUGUGCGGAGCUGAGGGGGGCUGGAGGCCAGGGCUGAUGCUGCAGCUCUGUGUUUCUCGCGUGCCCUGGUGGUGCCCAGACCCGCCUUUGUGUAGAGGCUGGAUCCAUCACCUCAUGGCAUCGUGCCAUGUUGCAGUGGGGAAACUGAGGCUCAGGAAGGCCUUGACCUACAUGAGGUUGGGAGCACUUGCCUGGGUUGGAGAAAGCCUCUGCCUGUUCUCUGCUGCUUGAAUCUGCCUUGAUGGCAGGGAGGGCCUCCCGUUCCACAGAUAGAACUUGACGAGUUGGGACGAAGGAAAUGCUGAGCCUCACUGGUCUCUUGCUGGCUCCACGCCCCAGCUCCCCUGGCCUCUGCACCCGGCUUGAGUGACAGAUGCUCCAGGAGGGGCAGGUCCUUCUGGAGCCAGCCUGGCUCCCUGAGCCCGGGACUCUUCAGACCCCUCCGUGUAGAUCUCCAUGCAAAGCAGCUGGCUCCUCGCCUGUGCAGAGUCACCAGAUGCAGACCUGGAAGGGACUCUGGUCACCACGACCGAGCCCUGGGAGCCCCAAGGAGCCUGAAAGGAGAUGCAGCCAGUG
Molecule: long non-coding RNA, 1985 nt
Organism: Heterocephalus glaber (naked mole-rat)
Lineage: Eukaryota; Metazoa; Chordata; Mammalia; Rodentia; Bathyergidae
Source: Ensembl